Molecule: ribosomal RNA, 814 nt
Filed under: uncultured Bacteroidota bacterium
Lineage: Bacteria; Pseudomonadati; Bacteroidota
Description: bacterial SSU rRNA
Rfam family: Bacterial small subunit ribosomal RNA
Source: RNAcentral
AGGGGUAUUGGUUUUCGGACCAAGAGACCGGCGCACGGGUGCGUAACGCGUAUGCAAUCUACCUUUCACAGAGGGAUAGCCCAGAGAAAUUUGGAUUAAUACCUCAUAGUAUGUAUGAAUGGCAUCAUUUAUACAUUAAAGUCACAACGGUGAAAGAUGAGCAUGCGUCCCAUUAGCUAGUUGGUAUGGUAACGGCAUACCAAGGCGACGAUGGGUAGGGGUCCUGAGAGGGAGAUCCCCCACACUGGUACUGAGGCACGGACCAGACUCCUACGGGAGGCAGCAGUGAGGAAUAUUGGACAAUGGGCGCAAGCCUGAUCCAGCCAUGCCGCGUGCAGGAUGACGGUCCUAUGGAUUGUAAACUGCUUUUGCACAGGAAGAAACAACUCUGCGUGUAGAGUCUUGACGGUACUGUGAGAAUAAGGAUCGGCUAACUCCGUGCCAGCAGCCGCGGUAAUACGGAGGAUCCAAGCGUUAUCCGGAAUCAUUGGGUUUAAAGGGUCCGUAGGCGGUCUUAUAAGUCAGUGGUGAAAUCUCCCCGCUCAACGGGGAAACGGCCAUUGAUACUGUAGGACUUGAAUUAUUAGGAAGUAACUAGAAUAUGUAGUGUAGCGGUGAAAUGCUUAGAGAUUACAUGGAAUACCAAUUGCGAAGGCAGGUUACUACUAAUGGAUUGACGCUGAUGGACGAAAGCGUGGGUAGCGAACAGGAUUAGAUACCCUGGUAGUCCACGCCGUAAACGAUGGAUACUAGCUGUUGGGGGCAACUUCAGUGGCUAAGCGAAAGUGAUAAGUAUCCCACCUGGGGAGUACGU